RNAcentral lists this long non-coding RNA (486 nucleotides) under Selaginella moellendorffii. Its description in RNAcentral is "long non-coding RNA (SMOE_LNC000870)". The record is from RNAcentral. Lineage: Eukaryota; Viridiplantae; Streptophyta; Lycopodiopsida; Selaginellales; Selaginellaceae.
GGCAAAACUUUGAGCGCGGUUUUUUCAAACGAAAAGCAUAUUCCCCAUACACUCGGACAUAGAUCACUCGGAUUCCAUGUCUCGAGUUUCCUGGCACGAAGAUUAUACUAAACAAAAACUUGAAAGCAGCAACGCUCUUGGUUCCUCUUCAACAAAACCCCGUGAUGCGGGAUCCAACCUCAUCACCACCAGUUCGUCGAUCUUUCAAACUCAUAGAUCGCCUCCAGAAAACGAGAGUAGAACGUCAGUGCAUGAACACUCGAAACUGAGACGUCUUUCUCGAGUUUCCUGGCGCAGGCAUCUGUCGAAUAUGAUCCUAAGCACUAGCUCGCGUAGAACACGCACCUCCUCUUAGCGAUAUGAAGCUCCGACGACGUUCUUGGACCGCCCCGAGGCACUGGUUUCGGUCAGCUUGUCGUCCAUAAACUUGAUAUCAAUACUAGCGGCGAUCCAUUCUUGAAGUUCACGGAUAAACGUUACGUGUUU